This 253-nucleotide ribosomal RNA is filed under the name uncultured bacterium. RNAcentral's name for it is "partial 16S ribosomal RNA". It matches the Rfam family "Bacterial small subunit ribosomal RNA", at positions 524 to 776 of the family's 1533-position model. The record is from RNAcentral.
UACGUAGGGGGCAAGCGUUGUCCGGAAUUAUUGGGCGUAAAGCGCGCGCAGGCGGUCCUUCAAGACUGAUGUGAAAGCCCACGGCUCAACCGUGGAGGGUCAUUGGAAACUGGGGGACUUGAGUACAGAAGAGGAAAGUGGAAUUCCACGUGUAGCGGUGAAAUGCGUAGAGAUGUGGAGGAACACCAGUGGCGAAGGCGACUUUCUGGUCUGUAACUGACGCUGAGGCGCGAAAGCGUGGGGAGCAAACAGG